GAUGAACGCUGGCGGCGUGCCUAAUACAUGCAAGUCGAGCGAAGAAAGUAGCAAUAUUUUCUUAGCGGCGAACGGGUGAGUAACGCGUUGGUGACCUGCCUCGAAGCGUGGGAUAACAGUUCGAAAGGAUUGCUAAUACCGCAUGUGGUUGUAGAGAUUAGACGCUUUACAACUAAAGGAGAAAUUCACUUCGAGAGGGGCCUGCGUCCCAUCAGCUAGUUGGUAAGGUAACGGCUUACCAAGGCUAUGACGGGUAGGGGACCUGAGAGGGUGACCCCCCACAAUGGAACUGAAACACGGUCCAUACACCUACGGGUGGCAGCAGUAGGGAAUAUUGCAUAAUGGGCGAAAGCCUGAUGCAGCAACGCCGCGUGUGCGAUGAAGGCCUUCGGGUCGUAAAGCACUUUUAGAGAGGAUGAGGAAGGACAGUACUCUCUGAAUAAGCCUCGGCUAACUACGUGCCAGCAGCCGCGGUAAAACGUAGGAGGCGAGCGUUAUCCGGAUUUACUGGGCGUAAAGCGCGUGCAGGCGGUAAGGAAAGUCGGAUGUGAAAGCUCCUGGCUUAACUGGGAGAGGUCGUUCAAAACU
This 588-nucleotide ribosomal RNA is filed under the name uncultured bacterium. RNAcentral describes it as "bacterial SSU rRNA". It matches the Rfam family "Bacterial small subunit ribosomal RNA", at positions 28 to 634 of the family's 1533-position model. The record is from RNAcentral.